RNAcentral lists this transfer RNA (66 nucleotides) under Libiocoris heissi. RNAcentral describes it as "tRNA-Glu". Lineage: Eukaryota; Metazoa; Arthropoda; Insecta; Hemiptera; Aradidae. The record is from RNAcentral.
AUUUAUAUAGUUUAAUAUAAAAACAUAUCAUCUUCAGUGAUUAGAUAAGAUAUACCUUUAUAAAUA